CUACGGGUCGCACCAGUGGGGAAUAUUGCACAAUGGAGGGAACUCUGAUGCAGCGAUGCCGCGUGAGGGAAGAAGGUUUUCGGAUUGUAAACCUCUGUCUUCAGGGACGAUAAUGACGGUACCUGAGGAGGAAGCUCCGGCUAACUACGUGCCAGCAGCCGCGGUAAUACGUAGGGAGCGAGCGUUGUCCGGAAUUACUGGGUGUAAAGGGAGCGUAGGCGGGACUGCAAGUCAGAUGUGAAAACUAUGGGCUUAACCCAUAGACUGCAUUUGAAACUGUGGUUCUUGAGUGAAGUAGAGGUUGGCGGAAUUCCUAGUGUAGCGGUGAAAUGCGUAGAUAUUAGGAGGAACAUCAGUGGCGAAGGCGGCCAACUGGGCUUUUACUGACGCUGAGGCUCGAAAGCGUGGGGAGCAAACAGGAUUAGAUACCCUUGUAGUC
Molecule: ribosomal RNA, 439 nt
Filed under: uncultured bacterium
Lineage: Bacteria
Description: partial 16S ribosomal RNA
Rfam family: Bacterial small subunit ribosomal RNA
Source: RNAcentral